UUUCCGUAGGUGAACCUGCGGAAGGAUCAUUAAUGAGUUGUCAUGGGGUUCGAUGCUGGCAGCCAAUUUUUGGAUGCAUGUGCUUGCCCUAACAAUCAUCUUCCAGACACCUGUGCACAUUUUUGAGGGAGUCUUGAGUUGGUUGCCGCUCUUGGGUGAUUUUCUCACAUUCCCUUAAAUCAUUAUACGCUAUUAACAAUGUUGAACGUGCUCUGUGCCGCAAGGCUAUUAAUAUAAUACAACUUUUAACAACGGAUCUCUUGGCUCUC
Molecule: unclassified non-coding RNA, 269 nt
Filed under: plant metagenome
Description: partial contains small subunit ribosomal RNA, internal transcribed spacer 1, and 5.8S ribosomal RNA
Source: RNAcentral